RNAcentral lists this ribosomal RNA (403 nucleotides) under uncultured bacterium. RNAcentral's name for it is "partial 16S ribosomal RNA". It matches the Rfam family "Bacterial small subunit ribosomal RNA", at positions 30 to 526 of the family's 1533-position model. The record is from RNAcentral.
AUUGAACGCUGGCGGCAGGCCUAACACAUGCAAGUCGAGCGAGCGGCGGACGGGUGAGUAAUGUAUGGGGACUGCCCGAUAGAGGGGGAUAACUACUGGAAACGGUGGCUAAUACCGCAUACUAUCGGAUAACCCAUAUGGGAUUAGCUAGUAGGUAAGGUAAUGGCUUACCUAGGCGACGAUCCCUAGCUGGUCUGAGAGGAUGAUCAGCCACACGGGGACUGUGACACUGCCCAGACUCCUACGGAUGCAGCAGUGGGGAAUAUUGCACAAUGGGCGCAAGCCGGAUGCAGCCAUGCCGCGUGUAUGAAUAAGGCCCUAGGGUUGUAAAGUACUUUCAGUCGGGAGGCGUUACCGACAGAAGAAGCACCGGCUAACUCCGUGCCAGCAGCCGCGGUAAUAC